UUUAUCAGUCACUUCCAACCCUCCCAACCAAAGUAGAGACCUCAAAGUAUCAAAGAGCAGCCAGGUUGGUUUACAUUUCCAUAUAAAAGCAUUAAAAUGCUGUUGAAAUUGUUUCAGUAAUGAGGCAGGCAUAGGUUAUUUUAGAUUGUGUCUGCCACGUAUUCAAUUAUGCUGCUAACAGUUUACCUGCUUUACUUCCCUGUGACGGAUCACCCUGUCCCUGG
Pelobates cultripes (western spadefoot toad) is the source of this 224-nucleotide non-coding RNA. The record is from the annotation of a GenBank genome assembly. NCBI's taxonomy places the organism in Eukaryota, Metazoa, Chordata, Amphibia, Anura, Pelobatidae.